CGGCGGAAGGCGCAUGCCUUUUCCGCCAAAGGAGGCGACUCCGGUGCCGGCUGGGCACGCGUGACAUUAGCUAGUUGGCGGGGCGACGGCCCACCAAGGCGACGAUGUCUAGGGGUUCUGAGAGGAAGGUCCCCCACACUGGUACUGAGACACGGACCAGACUCCUACGGGAGGCAGCAG
RNAcentral lists this ribosomal RNA (180 nucleotides) under uncultured bacterium. Its description in RNAcentral is "partial 16S ribosomal RNA". It matches the Rfam family "Bacterial small subunit ribosomal RNA", at positions 173 to 354 of the family's 1533-position model. The record is from RNAcentral.